AUUAAUAUAAUUUGAUAAAAAAAGCUAGUUGAUCUAAUUAAAAUUGGAUUAAUUUAUCUGUUCCAUAGUUUUUUUUUUAGAAAAAGAUAGCGUGCUACAUGCUUCUUUUAUUUUAUUUAAAAAUAAAUUUAACUGAAAAUAUGAAUCAACUUGCAUUCGAAUUUGGAUUCUCGAAUAUCAACUAUCAAGUCAUUUAUCACUUGCGCUAAACACGGUCAGUGUUCCAUAGUUGAACAAUUGGUUCAAAUAGUUUAAAGCAAAAU
Molecule: long non-coding RNA, 263 nt
Filed under: Ananas comosus (pineapple)
Lineage: Eukaryota; Viridiplantae; Streptophyta; Magnoliopsida; Poales; Bromeliaceae
Description: long non-coding RNA (ACOM_LNC007283)
Source: RNAcentral